This 826-nucleotide long non-coding RNA is filed under the name Physcomitrium patens. RNAcentral's name for it is "long non-coding RNA (PPAT_LNC014821)". Lineage: Eukaryota; Viridiplantae; Streptophyta; Bryopsida; Funariales; Funariaceae. The record is from RNAcentral.
UUUGGGAAUCAGGAUUUUAAAUAUAUAUAUAUAUAUAUAUAUAUAGGUAGAAUCAUUUCUUACCCUGUUCAUUUCUUAAAAGAUCUCAACACUCGAAUGCUGAACACAUAAAAUUCCAAUUAAAUUAAAUUAUUAUUUUCCAUUCUGUUUACAAAGGUCAUGAACCACUGGGGAAGAAACAGCGCCAUCAAGAGUGAAGUUUUCAGCAGCAGUUACCAAUGUGGGCAAAGCAAUGACAAACAAACAAUUUAAAGUUUUCAAAAUGUUGGUCGAGGGUUAAAAGCAAUAUGCUGGCAGGGAAAGUGACAGAAAAAAGACUUCAAAUUUCAUUGGAUUUUCUUUCCACCUACAGGUAUAUAUCAGCUAAUUUCUAUUUAAACAAUAAUAAUAAUAGAAAGCAGCUUGCUUUCAAGCUCCUUGUGCAAGAAAAAUCUAAGGAAAGAACAGGAACUUGUAUACUAGGAUUCGUAAACAUGGCUUCAAGAUCACCAACCGAAACACUACUAGUCCAAUUAAAUGAUAAGGGUGAUCGACUUCACAUAAUCAUUUUCUCUACUCCAUGGUAAUAGGGUCCCCUGUUGCAGAGCAUGAUUGUAGUAGUUUGUGAGAAGGUGGUUAACAAUAAGGCUUGCUGUUGAGGUUAGAGUGGAUUCAAACAUACGAGAGACGCAUGGUCAACUCCUUGAAAUCUGCAUACAGCAUUCCUUUUGAAGGUUGAGGAAGUCCAGGGCUGGUUGUAGAUUAUUAAUACAAUGAAUACUGGCUAUUUCACAAAAUGUUUUUCUGUCAACAAGCUGCUCAUUCUUCAAACAUUUGUUGCCAACUG